UAUAAACAACCACAAUAUAUAUUUACAAAAUGUCUGAUAAAUUUUUAAUUUAUUUACAACUUGCAAAACAGCACCUUAUUUAAAAUAUCUGUAAUUUAUGGGAAUUGUAUAUGUGAAAUUUCAUAGUAUCCUCGAGUGUGCUCAAAAGUAUAAAAUCGACCAAAUCACCUCCAAUUUACGAAUUGGAAUGUAAUUACCGAAUAAAAACCUCCAAUUAAUCAAUUGGAACAAACUUACCCCAAUUCAUAUUUCCGAAAGUAAUAUCGGAAAAAUACUAUGUCUUUCCUUCGCGGAAAAAGACAAAUUUACCCUAUGCAUUAACUCCAAUGUAUGUAUUGGAAAACAUAGACCAAUUGAUGCCGUCAGAGCAUAUACUGCCAGUGCACUGAGACCCAAUUUUUCUCAAGUGUACGCAGCCAAAAUGCCUACGCGCAUCCCAAAUCACACUCCCUAGGAACAUAUGGAAAAUGAACCAAAUCUCUACCAACCUCGGAAAUUAUACUCUCUCACACCUUACUCUCGGAUACUAUUGUUUGACUAUUGUAGUUGAGUGACGGAAUCAGUUGAUGGCAGCUACUUUGUUAUGAUAGCUCCAUUUAGAAAAAAAGUAUCCAAAAUGUAGUGUUUUUUUUUUUUUUUAAUCAAAAGUGGUGCUGUAUUUGCAAAAUGGUUAAAGUUUAGCUGGUUUCCUUCGAUGAAAUAAAUCCCAAAAUAAACAGUUAAUGGAAUUCCAACCGUAUCAUUCAGGUAAGUAUUUUUAUAAUUAUGACUAUACUAACUUUCUUUUUUUUUUCAGGUUUCUGAACUCUUCUCCAUUUUCCUGACGAAGUCGCUCUCAUUUUGAAAUGGAUUAUUCUGCGACAAGUAAAUGGAUUGGUAAAAUACCAUCGACGUGCUUCGCCUGAAAACAAAAUGUAUGCCUGAUCCAGGAAACAAUCAUCUGGAAUUCUUUCGGCAACCAUCAGUUCGUUUACUUGGAAGACGAAGUCGGAAACUUCCAUUCCCUGAGGAUCACCACUGAACUGGAUACCCCAUUUAUCCAAACGGAAAUGGCGGAAUUUAUGAUUUCGUCGAUGAGAAUUUUUGUUGUUGUCCGACAGACUGUUUAACGAGGACGUCGAGGAGGAGCUCGUUGAAAGCAAACUGCUUAAAGAGUCCAAUGAAGAGCUCUCUGAGUCCGAAGACGAACUCUCGGAAAACCAACACAAGCAGAAUGUAUUCAAUAAAAAUAAUUCAAAUAAUAAUAAAAAGAAAAUGUCCCACACCCAAAAAUUCAAAAAUAAAAUCAACCUUCACCAAAAAUUUCCCGAAUUCAAUCUAUUGAUUAAUCUACCUAAUCGAAUCAGACUUAAAUUUCCUAAAUUCAAUUUUCUUAAUACUAAAAUUUCCUAUAUUUCAAAUAUUAAAACUAAUUAAAAAAAAAUUAACCUAAACGUAACUCACAGGGUCGUGAAUUAUAAAGUUGGGCGCCAAUGUAAGGGGGGUCCCGUGUGGGCCUGCAAAAUCGCCGACUUUUGCGCCAGAAGACCGAGGUCUUCUGUCGGGAUUCGGAUGAAUGGAUGCCCGGACUAGCGCGUACCGUAGGCCUCACCACAGUAUCCUCCUUCAAUUUGCUUUUCCCACACUUCAGAAAAAUAUUCACUAAACGAUUCGAAAAAUUUCUUUCCUCCAACUCUAAACCGAUCUUUUCUUUCUUACCAAAAGAAAAAUUAAUUUUACCAAUUUUAAACUGUUUAAUGGAAAAACUACCAAAACGUUUCCAGAAAUUUUCUCCAAUGUUUUGUUUCUUAUUUUCGUCAAAAACCUAACUCCUAAUACUCAACAAUUCUCCGAUUGUGACGUCACUCUGUUAUGUGUUGUUACCUAAACUCUAGUAUUUCUACUGGUACAAUGUGGUGUCCCUACUAAUUUGUUUGGUGUUCUGUGUAACGGUGGUGGUGGUCCGUGCUAUCACGUAUUGGUUUUUCAGGGUACUCACGGAUUUUGAAAUUCUAUACCGGUAUGGACUUGCAGCAACGGUGGGGCAUCCAAAAGGUGGAGCAGCGUGGUGAUCUCACCGCUCAGACACCAAACCUCGCACCGACGUGAGUUUCGGUAAAUCACGCUGGCGUUGGUAGACUUUCCCGUCCUGAGUACAACCGUGCCGGAGUAGGGUCGCGUAUGGCGGGCAACACACACGGGGCCGAGCUUCCCUCUCGAUGACCAACGCGCUCCAGAAUGGUCUAUAGUGGUCCGCAACCACGAGGCGAUAGACCACUCCGGGGAAUUUACCGAGCACCACUUCGCAGGCGAUGGCUGAUCGCCAAAACGCAAAAUACAACCUACACACGGAGCCACCAAGGCUGUACAAAUUGCCUUUUAUUAAA
Toxorhynchites rutilus septentrionalis is the source of this 2366-nucleotide long non-coding RNA. RefSeq lists it as uncharacterized. The transcript has 4 exons. The record is from RefSeq and is a predicted model, not a curated record. Lineage: Eukaryota; Metazoa; Arthropoda; Insecta; Diptera; Culicidae.